UCUGCAAGCAAUGGAGGCCACUAGGAGU
RNAcentral lists this non-coding RNA (28 nucleotides) under Rattus norvegicus (Norway rat). Lineage: Eukaryota; Metazoa; Chordata; Mammalia; Rodentia; Muridae. The record is from RNAcentral.